UUUUGAGUCCAGAAUUCCAAGGUUCAACUAAAGAAAAUUCGAUAUGUUCUUGCAGUUCAUCUCGUGGUAGAUUCGGAUGAUUUGGUAUUUUUUGUUUGCUAGUAACUUUGAUUUUUUGGCAAAUACCUUGAAUGAAAUCUCCAAGCGGAACCAAUUAUUUUAAACCGUCACUCCGUGCAUGUCAACGAGACGUAUAUAUAAGGUUAGCAAUAAUUCAUGUUGCUUGCGUUCCAUUGACUGGACUCGGGCUGUCGCGAGGAACGAGAGCUCUACAUUUUCCUUGGACCGACACUUAAGACCCGAAGGUCGUCCUCCAUCUUGUGUCGCAGCUGCCUCGCUUCCUGUUUCGUCGACGUGAAAUGGUCAUUAAGAAUCUGAAACUUGGCGAGUGCAUCCGACUUUCUCUCAUCCAAAUUCUUUUGCUCCAUCAGUU
Molecule: long non-coding RNA, 433 nt
Organism: Folsomia candida
Lineage: Eukaryota; Metazoa; Arthropoda; Collembola; Entomobryomorpha; Isotomidae
Exons: 4
Source: RefSeq, a predicted model, not a curated record